CUCCAAUUUAAAUUAUUUGAAUUUGAGCAAUCUCUGCAGUUUUAAUCAUAACCGUUGAUCAUAUAAUAAUGAACGGUCAAGAUUAAAUCAAUUUGUUUUCCUUUUCAACAAUAACAAAAACUAAAACCUAAUCCAAUUCUCUAAGACAACAACAGCCGCUCCUUCUCCCCCUACACCAAAAGCCACCAUCACCGCCUGACCCUCUUUUCUUUCUGUCGUUGUCUCGCUUCUCUAAAACUAUCGAUGAACCGAUGCCACAACAUUCAACUGUCGCUGCCGUCUCAUCCUCUUCUCCAUCUCAAGUCGCGACCAACAACAGUACCGUGCCGCCACUCUACUGUCGGUUGGUGUCCAGUAAAAUCAGGCCACCGGCGAGCUGUCGAUGAGCCACUAAUCGUUUCUUUCCUUCCCAUCGCCGCCUCCAGACAGUUAAACUAGUGGUGCAACCACCAACGACCAUCAAAUAGUCGUCAUGAAGUCGUUCACCAACUCGCGCCACCGUAGCGAUAACUAAACCAGCGCCGUCUCACUUGUUGAAAAAUGAUGGGUUCUAGGGAACCCAUCCCAGAAGAAUUUCAAUUGGAAUGCUUCUGUUUCAGUUAGUGAAACUGUGGUAAAGCAACAAUGGUUGAAGAAUGCUGCACUAUGCUACAAAGAUUUCAUUUCCAAUAUAAAGAAACACAAAGCUACAGUUCAACUGGAUUAAGCGUGUUAAUGGUAUUAGAGCACAAGAAGGGAUUGUGCUUGAUCUUCCUCCUACUAAUGAUGAUGACGUUGAUUCAUAGCGUCAUAGUAUUCGUAGUCCUUCAUUAUUGCAUUAUUUUUUGAUAGACUAUUUUAUAUGGAAGUACAAAAUAGUUUUGUAGUAACAAAUACUAAUUUUGAUGGGUGUGGGUUUGACAUUAGUUUAUUUUGACAAAAUAUUUGAACUUGUGGAUGUUUGGACACAGUUAUUGUACAUUUUGCUAUCUAUAUGAAUGUUGGUUAUUAUAA
Molecule: long non-coding RNA, 993 nt
Organism: Capsicum annuum
Lineage: Eukaryota; Viridiplantae; Streptophyta; Magnoliopsida; Solanales; Solanaceae
Exons: 2
Source: RefSeq, a predicted model, not a curated record